UACGUAGGGUGCGAGCGUUAAUCGGAAUUACUGGGCGUAAAGCGUGCGCAGGCGGUUUUGUAAGCCAGAUGUGAAAUCCCCGGGCUUAACCUGGGAAUGGCCUAUGUGACUGUCAGGCUAGAGGAUGGCAGAGGGAGGCGGAAUUCCACGUGUAGCAGUGAAAUGCGUAGAGAUGUGGAGGAACACCGAUGGCGAAGGCAGCCUCCUGGGCCAAUUCUGACGCUCAGGCACGAAAGCGUGGGGAUCAAACAGG
Molecule: ribosomal RNA, 253 nt
Filed under: uncultured bacterium
Lineage: Bacteria
Description: partial 16S ribosomal RNA
Rfam family: Bacterial small subunit ribosomal RNA
Source: RNAcentral